UUUUUCGAUUUUUUGUUCUAUUAAAUUAUCUUUUCUAAUUGAAAUAAAAAAAGUAUUGAUAAAUUUGAAACUUUGUGUUUGUAUCGAUACUUGUUCCAUGAUCAUGCUGUAUAGAAACGAACAAUGUAGGGACGAUUGUUGGAAGUUUUCGGUGGUUUGAUGUUUUAUUGCGACACAAUUUCUUCUGAAAACGUCCUUCGCUGCGCUAAUCACCUAAAUCUUAUGUGUUUUGUAUGGUUGAAAUUGCGGGUAUAACAAUUGUUUGCCUACUUCGCCUCUGUUCGUGGCUUCUAGUUACUGUCCAAUACAAGUUGUCAACAAUCAUUUGGGGCUUUAUGACCACGAUUCGGUCUCCAAUUUAUCUAGGAUAUUAUUCUCUUGAAUUUCCAUAUUUUUUUCCCAAAGAUUAAGGUCACAAUCAAAAUACAUUCCGUUGUGUUCAAUAUUUUCUGACUUUGGAAUAUUUCAUCUUUCGUUUUCAUAUAUGGAUCAUGUUGCUCAUCUUUAUGCCUACUUUGUCUUUAAUCGAAAGGACCGCAAUGCUUUACUCCUUGUAGUUAUCAGUUUAUAUAUAUAGCUGGAAUUCUGUUGUACAUUUUUUCAGGAAAAUGUGAACGCGGAGUAUCCCGCGUUGAUCCAUGAAUCAGAGGUGUAUAACAGACUAAAGGGAGGAGGUCAUGGCCUCAGCCACUAUCCCUGAAGCUUUUUGUAUAUUUGUUUAUUUGUUGUUUACUAUAUGUACACAUAUGUUUAUAUAGUUUAGUUCUAACCCCUAUGAACUCUUCGUUGGUGGGCUUCUGUAUUGGACUUUGGCAGCUGGAAUUUCAAAAGUGAGAUGGAUUGGAGUGGAAGGAGACCACAAUGCUCUUGUGAUGGACGUAAUGGGACUUAGUCUCGAGAAUUUUUCACCUGCUGCAGCAAGAAAUUCUCUUUGAAGACUGUCCUCAUGCUUGCUGAAAAAAUGAUCAAUCGUGUGGAGUUUGUCCAUUCCAAAUCAUUUCUACACCAGGAUAUCAAGCCAGAAAACUUCCUAUUUGGUGCCAUUAAACAACCUAAUGAGGUUCUUUCGAUAUGUUUUUUUAUGUCCUGUGUAAACACUAUAGCUUUAUUCCGUGUUCUGAAUAUGCUGAUGCAUAUUCCUUAUAGGUUGGUGGCUUGUUUUAUUCUUUCGGUGUUGUCUUUAUUGUUCAGCGGCUGAUUGUAUCUUGCUUCAAAGUUGCACUUCGGAAAUGCCGUCAGUUUGGGUUCCACUGUCUCUAUUUUCAAUGAUUAAAGUGUUUUUGAAAACCCAAAUGUUUAUUUUCCGGCGCUUAAGCUAGAUUAGAUGUGUAGUCCACUGAGAAUGGAUCCACACAUUAUGAUUAUAAGUGAACUUGUGGCUACCGAGUUUCUAAUGUCAAGUUCUCAUGUAUAUAACGCAGAGACGGUAAGAAGUGGAAACAUAAUGUAGCAUAUUCAAGCAUCAAUGCUCACCGUGGCGUUGCAAAGCUGCCGGGAUGAUUUAGAAUCACUUGGAUAUGUGCUUACGUACUUUCUACGAGGAAGUCUGCCUUGGCAAGAGGUGUCAGCAAGUACUAGAGAGGAAGAGUGUGAGAAGAUGUGUGAAAUAAAAGAGUCAAUUUCAAUAGAGG
Molecule: long non-coding RNA, 1631 nt
Organism: Pyrus x bretschneideri (Chinese white pear)
Lineage: Eukaryota; Viridiplantae; Streptophyta; Magnoliopsida; Rosales; Rosaceae
Exons: 4
Source: RefSeq, a predicted model, not a curated record